Molecule: non-coding RNA, 374 nt
Organism: Pelobates cultripes (western spadefoot toad)
Lineage: Eukaryota; Metazoa; Chordata; Amphibia; Anura; Pelobatidae
Source: the annotation of a GenBank genome assembly
UGUAGGUGGAAGCAGCGGUGGAGAAGGAGGAUGAGGUAGCCAACACUAUUUUAUAUAUAUAUAUAUAUAUAUAUAUAUAAAAAAUUUUUUUUUUAAUUGUGGUAGCCCCCAAAAUAUUGGGACAUAUAAAAAGAGACAACUCUGUUCUGCAGAGUAGUGUUGACAUUAUAGUUGCACAGGCCCUUUGUUGACUCUAGAUAACCUCGGGACAAUUGCACAUCCCAGUAAUGGCGACUUUGCAUUCGGAUGUCAUCCAUAUCAACUUUCGAUGCCCGUUUCUGCGCCUACCAUGGUGACCACGGGUAACGGGGAAACAGGGUUACAUUUCGUACACGGACCGUGAGAAACGGCUACCACAUGCAAGUAAGGCAGCA